This 236-nucleotide long non-coding RNA is filed under the name Setaria viridis. Its description in RNAcentral is "long non-coding RNA (SVIR_LNC007390)". The record is from RNAcentral. Lineage: Eukaryota; Viridiplantae; Streptophyta; Magnoliopsida; Poales; Poaceae.
UCUGUCUAUGUCUCUGUGAUCCAGCAUAAACUUGCAAAUAUAGAAAUGUAUUCCUAUUUUGCCUUUUUCUAAAGAAGAAAAUGAUGUUUUUUUUGUGUACUUGAUCUCUACGCCAAGCCAUAAUUGAAAGGAACUAGUCUAGUACUAUAGUUUACCCCCGAAAUUAAGAAGGUAAGGCUAAGGAUGCAAGUGGGGAGUGAGGACACUAAUGAGCUAGUUAGUUUAUUUUUAUCUUA